GACGAACGCUGGCGGCGUGCCUAAUACAUGCAAGUCGAACGCAUUUUCUUUCACCGUAGCUUGCUACACCGAAAGAAAAUGAGUGGCGAACGGGUGAGUAACACGUGGGUAACCUGCCCAUCAGCGGGGGAUAACACUUGGAAACAGGUGCUAAUACCGCAUAAUUCCAUUUACCGCAUGGUAGAUGGGUGAAAGGCGCUUUUGCGUCACUGAUGGAUGGACCCGCGGUGCAUUAGCUAGUUGGUGGGGUAACGGCCUACCAAGGCUGCGAUGCAUAGCCGACCUGAGAGGGUGAUCGGCCACACUGGGACUGAGACACGGCCCAGACUCCUACGGGAGGCAGCAGUAGGGAAGCUUCGGCAAUGGACGCAAGUCUGACCGAGCAACGCCGCGUGAGUGAAGAAGGUUUUCGGAUCGUAAAACUCUGUUGUUAGAGAAGAACAAGGAUGAGAGUGGAAAGUUCAUCCCUUGACGGUAUCUAACCAGAAAGCCACGGCUAACUACGUG
RNAcentral lists this ribosomal RNA (507 nucleotides) under uncultured bacterium. Its description in RNAcentral is "partial 16S ribosomal RNA". It matches the Rfam family "Bacterial small subunit ribosomal RNA", at positions 28 to 507 of the family's 1533-position model. The record is from RNAcentral.